CGCGUGGGUAACCUGCCUCACACUGGGGGACAACAGUUAGAAAUGACUGCUAAUACCGCAUAAGCGCACAGGACCGCAUGGUCCGGUGUGAAAAACUCCGGUGGUGUGAGAUGGACCCGCGUUUGAUUAGCUAGUUGGUGGGGUAACGGCCUACCAAGGCGACGAUCAAUAGCCGACCUGAGAGGGUGACCGGCCACAUUGGGACUGAGACACGGCCCAA
RNAcentral lists this ribosomal RNA (220 nucleotides) under uncultured bacterium. RNAcentral's name for it is "partial 16S ribosomal RNA". It matches the Rfam family "Bacterial small subunit ribosomal RNA", at positions 114 to 334 of the family's 1533-position model. The record is from RNAcentral.